MicroRNA precursor from Nicotiana attenuata, 138 nucleotides. The record is from Rfam. Lineage: Eukaryota; Viridiplantae; Streptophyta; Magnoliopsida; Solanales; Solanaceae.
AAGAGAAGAGCAUGUCAAGAUAGCCAAGGAGACCAAGCAAAAAGGCCACACAUUAUUAAUUGGUGUAAUCAAACACCUUUUUCAAAUAACGGUGCAUGCAAGUCAUCCUUGGCUACUAAACAAAUAUGACUCUCCUCU